This 369-nucleotide ribosomal RNA is filed under the name Triticum aestivum (bread wheat). Its description in RNAcentral is "partial small subunit ribosomal RNA". Lineage: Eukaryota; Viridiplantae; Streptophyta; Magnoliopsida; Poales; Poaceae. The record is from RNAcentral.
AUGGCACGCACACAAAGCAGGAGGAAAUCGGUACCCCGCGAGGCUGGCGAAGUCGGCACAAGAAGUAGGCGGAGUGGAGGCAGCAGUUGCGGGCUUAGGUGCGGCAAUCGCAAUCAAUAUUCCCGUCUCGGGUUGGCGGAGUUGGUAGAAAGCACGAUUGGCGAUAAGCUGGUACUAGUUUCAUUCUUUCUAUUCCAAAAUCCAAUACCCGGAACUGGUAAAUCAAACAAUGUAGGCACACGUUGGCACAAUUCUGUAAAUAAGAGAUGUCUCAUCCGGUUGAGCUAUCACAAUCAGUCUUUCUCUUCCUUUCUUAGUAGCAGAUCCAACAUGAAUGUAUUAAACCUUAAGCAAUCAGGGUUAAGCUAG